Molecule: ribosomal RNA, 373 nt
Filed under: uncultured bacterium
Lineage: Bacteria
Description: bacterial SSU rRNA
Rfam family: Bacterial small subunit ribosomal RNA
Source: RNAcentral
UAAUACGUAGGUGGCAAGCGUUGUCCGGAUUUAUUGGGUUUAAAGGGUGCGUAGGCGGCUCUAUAAGUCAGUGCUGAAAUAUCCCGGCUUAACCGGGAGGGUGGCAUUGAUACUGUAGAGCUUGAGUGGAGUCGAGGUAGGCGGAAUUGACGGUGUAGCGGUGAAAUGCUUAGAUAUCGUCAAGAACACCAAUAGUGUAGACAGCUUACUAGGCUUUAACUGACGCUGAGGCACGAAAGUGUGGGGAUCAAACAGGAUUAGAUACCCUGGUAGUCCACACUGUAAACGUUGAUGACUCGCUGUGUGCGAUACACUGUACGCGGCUGAGAGAAAUCGUUAAGUCAUCCACCUGGGGAGUACGCCGGCAACGGUG